UACACUAUGGCUGGGAAGUGUGGCGGCAGCAGCAAGGACAGGCACGGGAGAGCUGGUGGUAGCCAGACUCAUUCGGGCACUCGCGGAAGCGCAAACAAAGCAGCUCAGGAUGCACAAAUCUGCCUGGGACCCUCACCAUUUAACCCACAUUGAAGCCAUGCCAUUGGAGUGAUUCCCUUCUGCAGUUCCCAAUUUAUAAGCAGCAGAAGACAGUGAACCUACUGCUAAAAGGUACAUUGCAUUCAACGAGGUCUGCAAGAAAGCGUUCACACUCCUGCUUUUCUCUACUAUUCAGUGCAGCUGCAGCUGGGAACAGUAUACGGGACAUUUGUGCAAAGGAAGGAAGCAAAAUUCCUGUAUUAUUUUCAGGUGAAGU
Molecule: long non-coding RNA, 376 nt
Organism: Columba livia (rock pigeon)
Lineage: Eukaryota; Metazoa; Chordata; Aves; Columbiformes; Columbidae
Exons: 3
Source: RefSeq, a predicted model, not a curated record